UGUUGGCGUCUACCGAUUCUAAAGCAUCUUACUAUGAGUUCAGAACUGCAAAUCUCAUCUCAUCAUCUCUUCUCUGAAGUUUAUUCCUUAAAUCUUUCAGUGAAAACUACCAAAUAAUUUCCCGUCUCCAAGGCCGGGAACCUUCUAAUAAUUCCAUCCCUCCUUUUAUCUCUGCAGCCCCAGAUUUCUCAUUGCUCCACGGCUCUGCGCUGCCAUUGCUCUGCGUUCACCUCUGGGAGGCAGUGUUCACAGUGAUGGCAAAUUUCAGUCACGCCCUUGCUGUCCCAUCCUCCUGCUUCUUUUUGACUCCAUGACAAUCCGUGGCUCCCAGCAAAAAUCUAGCUGCCUCUGCUUGUCCUUCGAAGCAAAAUACGUUGUCCCCUUCCAGCUCUCACUGUCCCUUUGUGUCUCUGCCCGCUCUGUGCUUGUGGACCCCUCCUCCUAGAAUGCCCUCCCUCUCUUCCUCUUCUGGUCUUCAUUGAGCUACUCACACUGGCUGGUUUAGCCCCUCCUUCCUGCCCUUUCCCCAACCAUGGCACCCAUACUGGCCCAUCCCUCAUUUCGGACCUGCCGUAGUCCCACCGGGGUCCAUGGGAAGGCUCUCUGACUUCCUCAGCUAGAUUAGCUCCCCCUCCCGAAUCUCAUACUGUCCUUAUUUUCCCACAGUGACUCGCACGAGCCUGGACUUUAGAGCAGGUGCUUCACGUUCACUGAUGGAUCUGGACCAUGAUGUUGCUGGGUUGCACCGAGAUGCGAGGUAAACACCGUGUUUGCUGAUAUUUUUUCAUGGUUUAUGUUCUUGGCUUUUGCAAGUCCCCUGGUUCCAUUUGCCACAAAUUGAAAGUGAGGCAGGCAUGCUCUUCCUGGGGGGACGCUGGUGGAUUAUGGUAGAUGAGCAUCCCCAGGGCUCCGUUGGGACAUGUCUUCCCAGGUGCUGUGGGGGACUGGAAAAGGAGGCAGUUGGCCACAGGCUAAGUUCAGAGGUCAGCAGAGCAAGGCCACUGCAGCCAGGCAGUCCCCGCAGUCCUCCCAGCCAGGUUUUCCUUUGCUCCAACCUGGAAGUUCUGCGUGGGAUCCCUGAGAGAUGGGUACGUGGAAGGGCAAAGGAAAGCGGCAGAAUGUCUGUUACCAUUGCCUGGGGACUGGACCCCGCCGUCCUGUGGAAUCUGCAGUCCUGCUGGCCCGGGAAGACUUUGGAUUUGCCUUCCAGAGAGGACUGCCUACGUGAAGCAAUGCUCCCCUUCCGCCUCGUGCAAAUCUCCAGUCUCAACAUUGACCAAAAGAAGGCUGCAGAGGAGAGUGAGACAUGGGAAUCCAGUGUGGGACUCCCCCCGUCUGUGCCACAGGUGGGGCAGGAGCGGGCCGGGCGAGCAUCAGUGGAGCAGCGGGGGUUCAGCCUGCGGUGGGUGACAGGGGUGAGAGGGUGCAGGAACAGGCCAGGGAUGCUACUCAGCCAGGGUCUGCCGAGGUACAGGGACACAGGAUGAAACUCGCCAUGUCCGAAGGCUGGCGAGCACAGCCACAUUUUGAGGCACAGUGUCUCUCAGAAGGACCUAGAGCACAGGCAUCUUGGAACAAAAUGGUCAUUUUAUGUCGGCUCCCAGCUGUUGUGUGCUCAAUGAGCUAUAGUGGCCAUGGCCUCUCACCGUCAGAAAUCCUAUUUUCAGAAAGAAGUUAAAAAAUAGUCAGUAGAAGGGAACAAAGUAUUGUCACGGAAAUGACCAGCUCUGAAAGUUUGGGAGUUCACAGCAGUGAGAGGGGAAGACAUCAGUUUGGAAUAAUUUUCAGCGACUGGGGACAUAUUCCUUUGGGAAGGGCUAGUGAUCUCGUCAGGGGACGCUCCCUGCUGCACUCUGGGCACAGUUAACAGUCCCUGUUAACCGUGAGCUCCUAGAACACAGAACUCCGUGGCACUCAGCCAUUCCUUCCCCUUAGCCAUUUCUCCCUAGGUCUCCCUACCUCCAGCCCCGUCUUGUCUGUCCUGCUGAAGUCAAGAUUUCCUGGUGGUUAGAGAGGCCCCUCCGCCACGGAGGGCACUGUUCUCCCAAAGUCUAAAGGGUGGCCGACCGCAGGGUCUUGAGCACAUCUGGUGCCUGGUCACCACACACACGUUCUCCACUCGGCUUUUAAUCCUCCUACAACAUCCAGUGGGAGGAAAAUGCCUUGUUUGCUAAGAUCAUGGAAUGUGCCAACCUUAUGUUGGCCUGAGUGAUGCCAAGGGAGGCCGAGUCUCUUUGGAGGUCUGUGUUGGAUAGCUUGGAGUGACAGAAGCUGGUGUCCUCUGAGCUCCGGGCACCAGCACGUGGGCAGGUUGACACACUGGAAGGGCAGCCUGCUCUGGAGGUCAUGGUGCACGGCCAUCAUCCCCUGCCUGUGCUUUCUCUCUUAGCAUGAACGAUGCUGAUUCACUGCAGUUAAAGCUCAGACUUCCUGAUGGACAGGCAGUGAGCACGACUGGGCCCCGUGUCAUCACCAGCUCCUGGAGCAGGCGCUUAACACGCACGGGGGGAGGGGCAGUUCCAAAAGUGCCCUGGACAUUUGUAAAAUAGGUGCUCUACGCCCAUCUUAACCAGGCAGCCUGCGACCCUGCAGAUGGCUCUGCUAAGCAUGAAUCAGGCCACGGAGGCACUUUUAUUUGCUAUAAUUUUCUUUGAGGUUGAAUGUUCAUAAUGAUUUAUUUCGGUAGUUAGCUAAAAUAUUUGCAUCCUAUUUAGACAGAGGAAUAGAGAGGGCAGCCUUCUGGACAUUGAAGGAUGGAAAUGGGGGGAUUGAGCUGCAGAAAAAAAGAAUGUAUCAUCAGCCAAGUAGAAAGCCAGAAUUUGGUAGAGACUAAUUAAUCGUGACUCAACUUUGUCCUAACAUCCUUGAAGACAUCAGGCAUUAAUGUCCUUUCUCUCCUUCGAAGAAUCUCCUGAAAAAUUUAAGUGAGGGAGGGGUGGACUAAAUUAGGGUUCUCUUGAACACCACGAAGGAAAUCCAUCAUCAAAGCUGGGGCUGCGUCAUUUCUCAGCCUCAUUCUAGAGGCUAGCUCCAAAAAAUCAGUUUUGUGUCAUGAAGGAUGGCUUUUUUAAAACCAGGGAACUUGUGAAGAGUGUUCUCGGUGGAGAGUCGGCUGAGAAUAACAAACACUGGUUUAUUUCCAGACCCCACCCAGGCGGGUCACAGGGUCAUUCCCUCCCAGCACGUCUAUUCUGAGUCCCCCUUGUCCCCGGACGCUGCCAUCUUUGGAGUCAUACAUCAUCACAGUGAGGCGCUCCUGUAAUGUAUUGUGCUAAUCCAUUGCGGGAAGGACAGCGCCGAUGAUAAAUGUUUUAAAUGAUGGUGCUGUCGGAGGCUAAUGACUCCAAGAGCAAAUGCAAGGUAAGUGGGGAUUGCUUUCCAGGCCCCGUGAGGAAUGCAGAAGAUGUCCCUAAGCCAUUUCCACCCCGGGGCAGUAUUGAAAGAGGUGGCUGCCUGAGAGGCCUUUGUCACCUGCACUUGGGCAGUUAGGGCAAGCAGAAGGGUCUUUUCAGAUAAAAGCCAUCUCCCUCCUUGGGGCUAGCUUUUGUUGCUGUUGAUUAGUUGAUGGAUUGAUUUUUGUGUUAGGCAGCUAAAAAGCACCUGAAGAAGUUGUUUGACGGAAAGCAGACUGAGCACUGGUGUUAGGUUCUCAUCACUGUGACCAAAAUCCCUAAUAAGAACAACUUAGAGGAGGACAACUUUAUUGUGAGCUCAUAGUUUUGGAGGUCCAAUCUGUGGCUGGCUGAUUCCACUGCUGUGUACGGGCCAUGAGGCAGAACAAUAUGGCGGGAGGGAAGAGUGGAGGGAAGCUACUCAGCUCAUGGUAGGGUCAGGAGAGAGAGAGAGAGAGAGGAAGGACCAGGUACCACAGGGAAGACACACCCUUCCAGGUCAGCCCCCAGUGACCCACCUCCUCUGCCUCUAGCACCACCUGGUCCUUCCAUUCACCUGCAAUGAAUGGAUUAGGUUUCAGCUCUCACAGUCCAAUCAUCUCACCUCUGAAUUUUCCUGCAUGGACACAGGAGCUGUGGGGGGGACAUCGGGUGUCCAGAUCAUACAGCAGCUGAGGCUCUGCCCUCUCCUGGAGAGAAUGGGGGCCUGUGCUUCUUAGAACACGCACCGUUUCCUAGGCGCUCCUUGCUUGGUGCAGGAGACGUGUUCCUGCUGUUCCCACUGUCCCUGUGAUUUCAACCAGAGGGACAGACUGACUGGCAGGAUCUGUGACUGGAAGUCUGUUGUCCAGGCAGAAGUUUUGUGGGUGGAUGACAAAUUCCUGUCUACGCCGCAGAUCUGUGCCUCAUGCAUGCCCAGGAGAUGCCUGGGUGUUCAUUAGUAGGGAAAAAGUGACCCUAGGGUGGAGAACGUGGGAGGAAACAUUUAGUGGACGAUUUUGGAGGAAGUCAUCCCUUCGACGUGUGGUGUCGUUUCUUUCUGCUUAAGAUAGCAAAAGCCCCUGCGGCAGCAUCUAGUCCUCAGGGAUGGAGCCUCUCUGGACAGUGACUUUCUCAUUCCUUUUUUAAUUUUAUUAUUCUUAUUUUUUUUUUUAUUACCAGGGCUUGAACCCGUGGCUGCUUUACCAUGGAGCUACAUCUCCAGCCCUUUUUAUUUUUUAUUUCCAGACAGGGUCUCCUUAAGUUACUUAGGGCCUUGCUAAGUAGCAGAGGCUUGCGAUCCUCCUGCCUCAGCCUCCCGACCUGCUGGGAUUACAGACACGUGUCACCCUGUCUGAUGACUUUCUCGUUGCUUAGGCAUAGCCACAAAAAAGACGUGUCUCAUGCUUUUCCUGGGAGAAAACAUAAGUACAGAUAUCACCUACGCUCCUGGUGCUCAGGUAGCUGACAGUGAGACUGUAUUGUGCUUGGUCAGCCACUGGCCCUGUGCUCUCAGGCCUUGCCACCAAAGCCAAGUAGGCACAGGAGAGGGUGGGUCACUUGGAGAGGGAGGGUCACUUGCUCCAGGCAACAGGGUAGGUCCAGCUUUUGAACCCAAUGACUCCCAGCCCUGUGCUAACCCGUCCUACUCACUGCAGGCUCCUGUGUUUUAAAACGAGUCCUGUGUUUCCUGCCCCCUCAAGGUGUCCUGAGCCAGCAUCUUGUUGUAAACUGGGUUUGGAAGUAAAUAAUCUCACUGUAUGACAACACAUUCCACCUAUCCUUUUCAGCCAAGUUUGUAUACGGUCGAAGUCAAAUCUUUCCUCUUCAGCCAGGUGCAAUAUCAAUGCUGAGAUUUUUUUUUUAUUUAAAGAGAGAGAGAGAGAAUUUUUAAAUAUUAUUUUUCAGUUUUCGGUGGACACAACAUCUUUAUUUUAUUUUUAUGUGGUACUUAGGAUAGAACCCAGCGCCGUGCGCUUGCCAGACGAGCGUGUUGCCGCUUGAGCCAUAUCCCCAGCCCCAAUGCUGAGAUCUUUUUUAAAAAGAAAUCCAUUACUCUCCAUCUUUGUUCAAGGAAUGAGACUGGUCUACACUGUGAUUUAGCCUAAUGUCACUUCAAUGGUUUUGGUCUCUGCUGAGAGCCAGAGUAGUGGCUCCAGAGUCUUCAUUUCACCAGAGGGUAUAUGAUGUUUCCACUAACUCUCUCUUAAUUUCUUGAUGAAAAUAGCUAUUUGUUGAGCUAGGUUCCUUGAGAUGUAACUUUAACUUCUUUGAAGAAGACUCUUGGGUUGGAAUCCUUGCUCCUGGCUGUCUGGGUGCGGACUGCAUUAGAAAUCAUUAGAAAUACUCUUUUUUUUUUCCUUGUCCAUUAUCUGACAGGUUCUCACUUCAGUUUUCUUGAAUAUAUAUUUAUUCUGUCUCCCUCAACAGUGGAGAAAAUUAAAUGAGCUAAAUUUUGGUUUGUGCUCGAUGGAAUAUUUAUCACGUACAAGUGCCAAGAAGAGGGAAAAAUGAAUGACAAUAUAAAAUUUUAUUUGUUUUUUGGCCAUUAAGCUGGCCCAAAUGUGAGUGAGAAAAAUAAAAUCAUAACUACCAGUGUUAGAUACCAAUUCAAGGUUUAUAAACUCUUUUCAUUUAACACAUUACUUAUUUAUCGUCCUGUUUCUACUUACCAAUUUUCUUUAUGUUAGAAGGAUCCCCUAGGCUACCACAGAGACACCAGCACCCUAUUUAGUCCUCCCCUCCCUCACUUAUAUUUUUCUGAGGGAGAGAAAGGACAUUAGCGCCUGACAUCUUCAAGGAUAUUAGGACAAAGUUGAGCCUCCACUCUGCGAAGAUAAUCAGAGACUGUGGGAGUGUACCUCACCUCUCCCUGUAGCAGAUGGCUAAUAUUUUCAGGUCACAGAACCACGGCUAGGUCCUGACCCUAUGUCAUGCUUUCUCUUAUGUGUGGCAUGAAAUACUAGGACCGGGAGCUAAACAACAAUCGUAUUUGUAAUAUCUGAACUUUAAAAAAAACAGAGUGUUUAAAUGACAUUGGAAAACACUCUAACAAAAAUCAUGUUCUGUGCAGUAUUGAAAAAAUCAUUUCUCUCUGCAGAGAGCAGAUGAACCAAGCUUUCUAAAAUUUAUUCUUUGAAAAUGAUUCACUGGGACUAAUAAGAGGAACCCUCACAGAUAUGUCAAUUGAUUAUCGACACAGGUAUGAGAUUAUUCAAUGGGGACAGUUAUUUCAACAAACGGUGCUGGUAAAAUUUAAUAUGCACACGCGGAACAAGGAAGCUAGACUCUGACCUUGAACCGCAUGCCAAAGUGCUUGAAAGCCCUAAAUUUAAGAGCUAACGUAUAAAAACUAUUAGAAGAAAACACAGAGGCAAGUCUUUAUCACUUGGAUUUGGCAGUGAUUUGUUGCAUAGAACACCAAAAGAACAGGCAGCAAAAGAAAAAAAAAAUAGAUAAAUUUUUAUCAACAUUUGGAGCAUUUGUUCAGCAAAGAUACUAUCAAAGAAUGAAAAAAACCCCACAGGAUAGGGAAACUAUUUGCAGAUUGUAUGUCUGAUAGGGGAUUCAUAUUAGAAUGUAUAAAUACCUUUAUCAUUUACAGCAACAAAACGCCAUCCAAUUAUAAAGUGACCAGGGACUUGAGCUGUUUUGACACAGAAGACAGACAGAUGGCCAGCUAGCACAUGAACUACAGCUAGGCUAGGCGUUGUUGGUCACUAGGGAGAUGCAAAUAGCACCGCAGUGAGACACCUCUUCAUGUCCAUUAGGUCGGCCAUUAUAUAAAAAGAAAGAAAAAGAAAAAACAGUUGUUGGCAGGGAUGCAGGGAAAUUGGAACCCUUGUGCAGAGCUGUGGAAUGGCUGGGCAGCUCCUUAGAACGUCAAACAAGGAGCCACCACGUGACCCAGCCCUUCCACUCGAAUGUACCUGUCCCGAGGAACUCAAGCAGGACGCAGGCACCUCGUACAAGUGUUCAGGGCAGCAUUGUUCACAGAACCCAGAGGUGAGACAACCCAGUGUUCACCAGUAGAAGAAGGGGUAAGCAACACGCAGCAAAGACACAUAGUGGAAUACUAUUCAGCCACUGAAAGGAACGGAAUUCCAAUACAUAUGACAAGAGACCCUGAAAGCAUGCAGAGGGACAUAAGGUGUACACAAAGUGAGGGACCCAACACAGGCCACCCCCAGAGGUAGAAAGGAGAACAGGGUCAUGGGGAGGGGUAGAGAGGACGCCAAGUUAUUAUCCAUGUGUGUAGAGUCUCCUUGGGGGAUGAUGAGAAAGUUCUGGAAAUAGUGGUGAUAGAUGCACAAUAUUGUGAAUAGACUCCGUGCCACUGAAUUGUGUUUUUAAGAUGAUAAAUGUCACAAUAUCUAGAUCUAUACAGGACACCCAGCAAGGAGUUAAAUACUGCUAGAACACAAAAGGCUAGGUAAGAACUGAAGUGUAGUAGCUGUGGCUCGGGAUCACAGUGGCUAUCAGUUUUAACAGAGGGCAAACCUCUCUGCAGGGGAAAUCCUCAUUUUGGGUGGGUGCAUAGUUAGUGGGAUCUUGGGUAGCUUUACUAAAAGAGUGAAAUUGACUUUGAGAGAGAGUUUGAUUAUGAGACGUUACAACAUCGUAGGCUGAUGGAACUGGAGAUGGCACAAGGGCUCCUCAUAACAAUUAGGACCACGAUCCCGGUGCCAGGCACGCUGUCUGUCCUCAUCCAGGAAUUGCUGGGUGGCAUGCGUAACGUGAUCCGAGGGCAACGCUGCACGAGCAUUUUCACUGUGGAGACUGCCACAGGUUGUGUCUGCCACAGUUGUGUGUGCGGUGCAUAUUCUCAGCCACGGGUUCUAUGAGACGGGAAACUAAUGCAGACUGGCACACUCCAUCAAAGGCUCUGGAAUUCUAUUUUAAAUGUAUAGGAAUUUGGGAACAUGAUUCUUUUAGGGAUGAGAGCUGUCUAGAAUUAGGACAAGGCCUUUAUUUUGAUCAGUCAAUUAACGUUUCCAGACUGCCCCUCUGAACAGCCAGCUGAAUUUGUAUUGAAUUUAUGUCAGAGUACAUCAGGCAAAUGGGGAGCCGCACAUGGGGAAAAAAAGUCUUUCAAAUUAAUUUGAAUAAGACUAGAGGAGAAAAAAUAUAGUCCCUUGCUUAAAUUCUUUUAAAGGUAACUUUGUAUCGAUUAAGUUUAUAGCAACAAAGAUUUAAAAAUAUAAUAACCAUGUAUUGAAUGGCAAUUUUAUAUACAGGUACACACAUUGGAAAUUCCUUUAGCCUGGAGAAUUUAGCUCUCUUUGUCUCUUAUUACUUUUUAAAUUACAAGGGCCAGGAAGGAAACAAAUUUAGCAUUUUGAAUUGAAUCAACAGUUCUUGGUCCCAGAUUUGACAGGGCUGCAAAUCUUAGACUUCAUAUUAACAAGCUGGUAUCUUAUAUGUGUGUAAACUGUUUGCACUAGCUGUGCAGUAUCACGGAAUGGCUUAGGAAACACUUUAUGGAUUGAUGAAUUUGAUGAGCACUUGAGGCACUGUAGUCUGGGCCGGCCGCUCCGCUUGCAAAGUUUAUAUUAACAAUAUAUAGCUGUCACCUCUUCAUUCCACACAUUUCAAGGAACACAGAUGGCAGAGUGGUUCAGCAUGGCAAAGCACUACGUUGGUGUAUAAAAGCUGACCAUAGACAGAAAACAGGUUAGAGUUGAUCAAAUAAUUUGACAAUCAUAGUCACCAAAUAAUAAGUGACAACUUUGGCUGCUUUUUGGAAUUAUAUGCUAAUACAGACAUCUAUAAGAGCCAGAAGAAAAUGCUUACGUUGGAAUUCCUCCAUGGUGGGUGUGUGGGUGCUGUGAACUUAGGGCACCCCUGGUGUGCAGAGAGCAAGUGCCACCAAAAGUUGACUUCUAGGCUGGGGUGUAGCCCUGCGGUACAGCAGAGCCCAGCAUGCACAAAGCCUUUGGUUCAAUCCCUGGUACUGGCAAAAAAGCAAAAUCAAAACAAGAUGGUGAAACCCCCCGCUCCUUGGUGCUUGGUCCUACGUUGUUAAGCAGGUCGUAGGAUACAAAUAUAUCCAACAUCUAUUGCUGUAACAUUGCCAAGAACUUAGCCACUUCCAAUACCAAUGACCUCAGUUACGGGACUUGGACGGCUUGGAAGGCUUGGUGAGGUUUUGUGCUUAGGGUCUCCGAAGUUCAACCUUAGGGUAUUACCUUGUUGCUGUCUUACUGGAGGUUCUGGGAAGAAUUCUCUCGAGGCUCCUCCAGGUUACUGGCAGAAUUCAGACUGUGCUGUCGAAGGUCUGGUGGCCUUGUUCCCUGCGGGCUGUGGCCAGCGGGCAGCUCUUGGCCCCUCAGGGCUGCCUGUGUACCUUGUCACGUGCCCCCAGCCCAUUUUAAGCCAGGUGUAGCAAACUGGGUGCUUUUCAUGUUCAAGUCUGACUUUUACUACUAACCAGAGAAAGUGCUCGUUUUCUUUUUUUUUUUUUCUUUUCUCUCUUUCUUUUUGUGUUGGGGACCAAUCCCGGGGCCUCAUGCAUACUCCGCAAAUGGUCUACCACUUAGCCACACCCCAACCACAGACACUCUGCUUUUGAGAAUUUAUAUGAUCACAUUUGGGGCACAUAGAUAGUCUCCCAGGCCUCAGGCCAGUUGAUCGGCCACCUUGAUAUCUGCCUGUGAAGUCCCUUCAUAGCAACCCCUAGGUCAGGGCUCCAUGGAUCACCAGGAACUGGGAAUCCUGGGUGACCAUUCUCAGAUCCUGCCUAACAUUAUUCUGCAACUACUUUGCAGCUCCAGGAAUUCUCAGCGUGGCCUGGUGGCCGCUGGGAAAUAAGUCCGUCAGUGCUCAGCCAGACCGCCACAGCUUCUCUUCCUCCUUACUGUUCACGUCGGCCUUUUAAAGAGAAUAGGUUGGCAUGGCCUGUUUAACAGGUAAUAUACCUGGCCAAAUAAGUGAAGUGGAAUAAAAAUUAAAAUGCAGAAUAAGAGCAGAAGCUGGGGAGGAGUCUGGGAAAAGGAUAUAUCCAAAAUAGUGUUGGAGAAAGUUAAAAUUAAACAAGCCAAAGUUAGGUGUGAAAGGUAGGCCUUCUUCAGAUACACUGGUUUAUUUAUUAUUUACUUAAGAAACAAUUUUUAAAGAAAGGCUGGCAAAGGAGCCCAAUAUUGAAAAUUCAAAAAGGAAGAGAGGCUUAGUUGAAACAGGGAAAGGGCCCAAUAGUCCCGGAUUCUCAGCUCGUUUAUAUUUCUCUUUUCUAUGAAGAGGUUUUUGGGGUCCCUAGAUUAUGGGGGAGCCCAGCGUGGAGACCCCUGGGACAGAGACGAGGACUUGUCACGUCUCUGCUGCCAGCGUCCUGCUGGGCUCCUCUCUGGUGGGUGGACGAGCCCCCACUCACUUCCGCGUCUCCAAGGGUGUCACUCUCAGAUCUGGGGUUUUGUUCUGGUUAGUGUCCUCCUGACUCAGCCACAGUGUUGGGUUAAAGGUGGGCACGUGACCCGAUUCUGACCAGCAGGGGAGAUCUGGGACUUGCUCUAGCUCCCCAGGAAAGCCUGUCUUGCUCCCGCACUGGUGUGUGAAGUUUCUUGUUUGUGGUGGUGUUUGUUGGUUCCCUUCAGGGGUCAUUAAAGGAUUCUUUGAGGAUCUUGACAUGAGAUGGUUUAUAUACUUGAGCAUCCUGGGCCUCCCAUACAACUUUAGAAUGAAGAUCCAGGAGCCUGUUAUUUCUUAGAGCUGCAGGUGCAGAGACUGAUGGGCCACUGCAGUGGAAAGGUAGAAGCCAAUGAAAUUCUCUCAAAGCCUGAUUUGCAGACUGGUCUCUUGGGGCCCCGUGCUCAGAUGAAGUCUUUGGCCCAGAGGAAGUCGAGUGAGUAGGGGGCAGUUUUCAAACGAAGACGUGAAACUGGCCUCAGAGAAGCCUCCUUUGUAACGGAGCACGUGUAGAUGAGGUGGACACCGAGGCUGGCCAGGAGGAGGGUGCUGAAAGGGCACAGAGGCUCCAGGGACGGGUAUGGACAAUGAUCUGGUGCCUGGAGGCAGAGCCUGAGUAGGGGGUGUGGACCUGUUGCAUGGGAUUGUUGAGGGGCAGCCGACUGGGACCACCCUGUGAGUGGGAGAAGACACAGAACAGGCGAGAGGAGAAAGCCAGGCAAGCAGAGGAUCUCUUGAGACCUCUUCUCAGCUGAGCCACAAAUAUGGGGGACUCCUAAGCCCAAGCCGCACCACUGACUUGUGCUCUUUGGGACCCUUUGUUUUCAUUUAUUUUUUUGCACUACUAGUGAGUGGACCCAGGGCCUUGCACGUGCUAGGCAAGCACCCUCACACCCAGCCACAUCCCCAGCCCUUUUCUGACCCUUUAAAUUCUGUAUCAGUUAAUUGUUGUCCAUUUGGAUGGGGAGGGCUGGGGGUAAACUCUAACAGCUAGGGACUGGGGCUUUAGCUCAGUGGCAGAGAGCAUGUGUGAGGCACUAGGUUUGAUCCUCAGCACCACGUAUAAAUGAACAAAUAAAAUAAAGGCAUUCUGUCCAUCUACAACUAUGAGAAAUAAUUUUUAAAAAGUUAAAAUUCUAAUGGCUAAAUUUUUGUGCCAAUUUGGAGGAUGUUUUUUGAAAUGAAAUUUACAUUUAAGGUGAGAAACUUCAAGUAAAAUAAGUUGUCCUCCAUAUUAGGGGGUGAGCCUCAUCUGACCAGGUGGGUACAAACAGACUGGCCUCCUCGGCAGGAGGGACUUCUCCUGCAGAUGGCUCUUGGACCUGCUCUAUGUCACCAGCUUUCCUGGGCGUCCAGCCUACGGGUUCACACUGAAGAUCUGGACCUGUGGCGUGCACAGUCACACUGUGUGACCCAUUCCUUCUAAUAAAUCUCUUUAUAUAUGCACACCCACGUACACACCCCCCCACCCACACGCACACACGCACACACACACACACUCGGUACAGUGUCUCUGAAGAACCCUGACUAACACACAUUCCAGUAGCCUGUCUCUGGGAAGUGGCUCCUGUCACCAGGGAUGAGUCUUCUCCAGAGGUGACAGGUGAGUGACAGGGUCCCAGAAGAGAGAGGGAAACGUGGUGGAUAGUGGUCUGCUUCUGAGAGCACACAUUGGAGAUCCCUUUUUUGCAGUGGAGGACCCUGUAGGGGUAGUUGAGAAUUGAAUUUAUUUUCAUUGUGAGGUGAGUUUAUGGUCCUGCACAAAUUCCUCCUCAAUAUGUUGUCGGUUCUCGCAAAGCUCCUUUCGUCAACCGUUGAUCGGCAUGGCGGCGUGGCAUGGAGAUCUAAACUCCGUAGGCUUUAAAUCAAAGAUAUACGAUCAGACCCCGGCUCCCCAUUUACCAGCCAAGUAACCUUUGCACAGGUGACUUCAUUUCUGGGUUUUGGGUCAAUAUCUGUAAGAGAACGAUGACAACAGAAAUAUUGUGAAGAUGACAUUGAAAGUUGGUCUCACACACGGAAGGCUCCCCUCUAAAAUAAGAUACAAAGAAGGCAGCUAAACGGCACAGGGAAUGCCAAGCUGCCUCGCGCCAGGCGGUGCGUUCGGUAUCUUGAAAGCAUCACCAGGUUAAACUCUCAUAACUGUUCUCAGAGCUGGAUAUCAUUCAACCCCGUUUCCUAACGAGGACUGAGGUACAGAAAGGUUAGUACCCAUGCCCCCAGUUUCCCAGCGUGGGAUGUAAAGGAGCCGGCCUCUGUAGAGAACAGCAGGCUGAGGUACGGUUCCAGGAGCUUGGAAAGCGUGAGAUCUUGCUGCAGGGAUCUCUAACGCCAGGCCGAGGCUUCGGGCCUCCUUGGCCCUGGCAUGCUGUGAUGGGGGAAGUGAGGGGGUAGGUAGGACACAGGUGGAAGGGUCGCCGUUGUACCCAGAGUCUGAUGUGGCCGCCCUACCUGGUGCUGUUCUCCACUGCCUGCCAAUCGUCUCAAAUUGCAUGGUGGUUUGGGGAAGUGGGUAAAUAGAAUCCAGGGCCAAGUCGGGCUUCUCCGCUUCCUUGUGGUAUGUCAUAAUCAAGAUGCAAAUCAGCGUCUCCUGGGUGGAAAAGAUCAUAAACGGGAAACGUGCUGCACCUCGGAGUUUUCACAGAUUUCAGUCAUUUGGUCCAAAUCCAGAAACUGUCUUGAGAGAAUAAAAAGGCUGCAGAAUGGGAACUGAGGAGGACUGCUGAGCCCGUAGCCAGCUACUUUGCCAGGACCAGAGGCGUUUAAUUUUCAUGGUCUUGCAGUAAAUUUAAAGGCAAAUUAUAAAAGUAAGACUCAGUUUUGGUAAGGCUCCAGUUUAUGUGUAUCAGGCUUCUAACUAGACCAUGGGGGCUGCUGGUGAAAGUUUAGAUUUAAAGACCUUCACAAAAGUGUCCUGUGUGGAAAUCUCUAGCACUUUUGGAAUUCCCAAUGAUUCCCAAUGACGUCCCAUGGCACACUCCUCAGCCUCACAUCAGCCAGGGCAUUGGAAAGUGGGGUGUGGCUGGUGGUGGAAAGUCAUGUUUUUAAGGGGUCAGUGCAAAAGUUAGGGACCAAAUCAUUUUGCCUAAUGUAUUUAGGGAACUCAGUGUCUGUUUCCACAUUCAAAUGAUAGUUGCUUAAUUGCACACUGUGCCUGGUAGGGGAAAUUGAGGCCUGCAGGAGAGGUGGUCUGCGUGGUGAUGAGGAUCUUUGAGCCUCAGUUCCUUUAUGUGCAGCACAUGGGUAUUAAUGAUUAUCUCGUCAUGCUUGUGAAACCCGUGGUAAUGUUGCUGGCAUGUAUGAAGUGCUCAGGCUGCAAAGCUAAUGUAAUUAUUAACUGGAAAAAAGUUGUCAGUUCCAGGAUGAACGAAAAUUGUUGGUCAUGCAUGACACUGAGGAGAAGGGCAGUCUGCAGGCUCUGAAACUGGGCCGUGGUGGACCGUGGUGGCUGGGCCCGUGGUGUUGAGGUAAGGUCGCAUGUCCAAGGAGGAGAAGAGGAGGUCCCAUCUACCCUAAGCUGCUUCAGGCACAGAAAAGGCUCAGGUAAGUCUGGUGGUGAGCUGGGUUCUGGGUUCUCAGCUGAUGCACACACCCCUCAUCUGAGGGUCCAAAUAAGCAGCUUAGGAAGAGAAACUGGAUCCCUGUAUUCCCACAGACCAACCUGUGAGUACAAAUCCAGGGCUUGAGAUCUCAUUGGAGAGUCUGUGUUAUUUAAAUUUCUGAAGUGAGCCCUUCUCGUGUGACUUCAAGCUAAUGUCUCGUCUAUUGGAAUGAGCUCUGGCAGUGGUGCCCCCAAAGCCACCCUGAGCACCCCACUGCUCUCCACCCACAGAGCAGACAUCAGAAGCCAACAAAUUCUACCAGACUUUUGUUGCUGACACAGAAUUCGAGUUUGUUUUAUUUACUUUUUUUUUUUAACUUGGGGGGGGGAAGGCAUUUCUGAGAGACGGUGGACAUGAUAACGUGACGGGGGCCAGAGAUCCUCGAUGGCAGCCUGCUGCGCUGGAGUCUCAUCUUCUUUUCCUCCGGACCACCCCUCCCGCUUGCUCAGCAGACAGGCUAGGUGCAGAGGUUGAGCUGUGGAUCUCAUUUCUUGUGUUUUGCUGCUUGUGAAGUCUGCCAACAGAAUCCACCUUGACAAAGUCAAGGACUGUGCGUUUAAUGUUGAACUGAGUGAAUAAAUUAUGCAUGAAAUUGUGCCGGAGUCUCUAGUGUGCAGAAUUGCUCCUUUUGAUAUGAAAGGUUAAUUCAGAAAGGAGUCCAGAAUAGCUGGAAAUUGUGGGGAUAAGUGGAGAGUAUUCACUGUUGUGAGCUGUUAUUACUAGAAAUUGCAUUCCCUCUCUGGCUUCCCCGGAGAUUUUGCUUUGCCAGUGAAUAUAAACUGUGCUCAAUAGAAUAGCAUUUAGGAGUAACAAGAGUGUAUGUCCACACACAAUAAAAUAUUCUAAUGGCGUUUUAAAGAGAAGUUGUACUUUUUCAUGUAUAUCGUGCCCCCCAAGGAAGAAUUUCUAUUGCAUUUAGGUCAAGAACAAGGUACAUCAGAAGUAAUGAGUUUUGAGCAUGUAUGUAUUUCAAGGGGCUGCCUGGGACUCCCGUUUUGCAGCCGGGGCUGGUCCUGCCACUGAUUAGCUAUGCGAGCCUGGUUUCUGAUAAAGCCCAAAGCAUCCUUGCCUCGGGAAGGAAACAACCCAAAUUGUUUUAUCACCAAAUCCUACAUACCCAGCUCCGAUUUAAUCUUCAGUAAGUGUAUGGCGCUCUUCAACCUGUUUCGCUCAGGUUGAUGUCCUUUUUACACAUAUCCCAGAUCACUUUUAGGUUAGUUCAUUAUUUCCAGCAAGGGGGAAAAAAUGGAGUUGGCUAGAAAGCUGAAUUUUACUUAAAAUACACACACACAUAUUUUUGGAGCUUGUUAGAGGCUCCUCUUUGUGUUCCCAUCACCAGGGAACAGCAUUGUGCUUCCAGACUGUGGGCGGUGUUUAUUUUUGUCUCUUAUGUACAUGCUCAGAAACCAUCUCCUUAAUCUCCACAGGGUACCGGGAGUUUUUUCUCUAAUUAUAAAGUGGUAUCCUUUCUGACCCGGGGUAGUUUUUAAUUUUAAUUCCUGCCUCGUGUUUAUAAACUGCUGGAUUGCAUUAUCCUGUUGGGAUCCUCGAAAACUCUCUCUCUUUUGUGUUGAUUUUAACAAUUAGAUAUUCAUUCUAUGUAUUAAGAUGUGUUUGAGGCCAACCAAAGAUGUGUUUUUGAUGUCGAUUCUUUCUCCUCCUGUGUUUCCCUUAUCUAUAUAUUUUAGGUGGAAAUGAAACUUUAAAAACUCCAGAUUACCUUUGAAACUAAAAAGCCUGGGUACUAUUAAACAUGCAACCAAAGUUAGAGUAAAGAAUUUGAUCCAAUUACCUUUAUUUAGGUUUUUUUUUUUUUUUGUCUUGCUUUCCAAAUGUUUGUAUAGCAAAAGAUAUGUAAAUCUUGGCAUAGGGAAGAUAUUCCUGUACGUUCCGUCAGAUGCUGGAUUAAAAUAAAUAGUUGCUCCAACAUCAAGGUGCCUGCAAGUUCUUUUAAAAAUGUUAUUUGUUACUUUAUGGUAUUUCUAAGGAGUGUUUAAAAUGACUAAUCCUCAGCCUACUCAUUAAUGCCAUGUGUAUUAAGUUUCUUCUCUCUGCUGCCUGUGACUCAUGAGUUGGCCCUGGACGGCAAAUUGGCAAAAUAGCUCCAUGUCCCUGGAAACGUUUCGAGGUGCACAGUGAAAAUAGGUUGUGCCUUGGGGGCUGCAGAGAUUCAGUUCAGGUGGACCUGGAUCCUUCGGCUGCCAGAAGUCAAGAAUUCAGUCACAGGCCCAAUAUGGAAUUGUGCUUAACAUUCCAACGAUUAUAGAGGUGUCUGCCCCUGUGAUGUUAUAUUCUGAGUAUUUAAAAAUAUUUUGGGCAAACCAAACACGCAUCUUUUAUGUAGAUUCAAAUGCCUUCCGCAGAUCAAACUAAAAAGUCAUUGAAUCAGCAACUUUGUCGCAUUGAGAACAGGUAUCAAAGGCAGUGAAGAGGCGGCUGCUGCCUGAUUAGAAUUUACACACUCCGCAAGACCAACCACAGGGUGGAGGUUUUCAUACCCUGGUGUCAUGCACAGGGACUCACAUGCCAAAGUGGAAGAAAAACAAGUUCUUUUAAGAGAUUUUCACUCUCGCGCCUAUAUAUAUAUCCAUUAAAGAAAUAAAUGUCACUAUUUCACGUAGAAAAUAUAUGAUUUUGCAUAUAAAACAAAAAUCUUAAAUGUUUUAUGUUCUUUUAAAUAUGUUUGGCAUAAUUUUAAUUAAAUUCAAAUGUUUUAUAUGAUUUUAAAUAAAAUAUUUAAAAUAUGCUAUUUAAAUCGUAUAGUGUAUUUAAGUAUGCUCUUUAAAUGUUUUAUUUAAAUCUAGUGACAGAAUGUUCACUUUUAGCCCAGACAUUUUUGCAAGUAAAGAAUCACCCAGAGAAACAAUUUAGAAGCAAAUGGAGACUCUUUUCCACAAGUAAUUAAUACAUUUAAAAGCAGGUUUGAAGUCAUUAGUUAAGCAAGAGAAUCAAUCUCUUUUAAAAGCUUCCCAUCCCUGGAGGCCCAUUCAGUGGUGCACACCUGCUCUCCCGCAGUCCUGCGCCCUGCCUGGCACCAUGGACAUUUUCUUUAUCCACCCCCCCUCCACCUCUUGCUCCAGGGGCGUGAUAACAUAUUUUCAAGACUAGAUACAUAUUUUCUUAAAAAUUUAUACUCUCCCUCCGUCCCACGACAUCCAAGAGCAUCGUGCUUACAUUUCUCAUUAUGUAAAAUGAAGUUGGGAUUGAAAUUACAUAGCAAAUGCCCAUCAGUUGAAUACCCUGUUUGUGACAUAUCAGGCGCAGAGAAUUUUCCGCCAUCACUAAGCACAGAGUCGGGUCUCGGAUGCUGGCAGGUCACCUUGGGAGAACCUGGGAGUUCUCUAGCUCUUCUUCAAGUCGUACAAAUGAUCCCUUUCAACCGUUAAUGAUCUUUCCUUUUGGUAAGUUUUCCCCGUCGAAAGACAACUCCACAGAAGCUUAUGUAACUUCACCAGGAAAAAGUCGCUCUUGUCCAGAGGAGAUUUAUCUUUUUUUGACCAUCAUUUGGGGGUGAGAGAAAAGGCAAUUUUUAAAAUGUGAGUAAGCUCUAAGAAAAAUAUUAUGAGAGGACUUUGCUGGUAUACUGCCGGCUUGCGUUAGCGUCCAUUUUCUUGGGAAAGAUGUUUCAUUUUAGCAAGAUCCUCCCGCUGAAAGAAAAUUAAUUUUUUCUCCUUUUCGGCACAGCUUCAAUCCUUUUUCUGUUUCCCUUCACAGUGGAUGAAGUGAUCUAAGUGGAAAACACACAUUCUUUUUGAAAGAACAAAUUUAUUGGUGAGUGUGACCAACAAAAAUAAUUGAAGUUUUUUUAAAAAAAAAAUGGAAGGUAAGUGUUGGUUGCAUAUCUUCUUGGUGGACCUCUGGAGUCCAAUGACCAUUAGGAGGAGUGACCCUCCACCUCGACGGGCAAGAGAUCACAUUUCAACCCCCAAACACUGUCGACGUGGAAGAUCGGCCGUGUGUGUGUGUGUGUGUGUGUGUGUAAGUAAUGGGGAUUUCUGCAGCUGGAUCCAAAAGGGCUCAAUACUAAUAUUUAUUUUAUUAUUCAUUACGUUCUUUUACUUUCCAAUUUUUAAGCAUGAGAAUUGAUAUUUGCCCUUGAAAUGUGAGGGAGCCUGGGAACCCUGUUUCUUUUAUCCUUGUCCAUUCUGUUAUUUUCUAUUGCUGAUGUAAAAAAUCACUACAAACUCAAUGGCUUAAACAAUGCGAAUUUGUUAUUAUGCAUCUCUGACUGUCACAGGGCAAGGCAAGGUGUGGGCAGGUCCGUGCUCCUGAGUGGAGGUGUUGGGUGGUUUUCUCUUUGCCUUUCGGGCCUCCAGAGGCUGCCCACGCUCCUUGGCGGGUGGCACCUCCCUCAUUGCCAGAGCCAGCCAGGCUACGUCUUCUGGUUCCUCCCUGGUCACCUCUUCCUUGCCUCUGAGCUCCAUAGGAACAGGCUCAGAUAAGGACCCUGACUCAGUUGUCCCAGCCAGACACCUAGGCCAACCCCAUGCCAAAGCCCUACCCUUGGCCCGUUGGCAGAUUUCCUUUGUGAGGAGAGGUUGGCACAUCCGUGGGCUCUGGAGCCUCCGAUGCACAUGUCUUUGGGGAACCCCUGUUCUGCUUCCCGCACACAGGAAGAUGACAAAAGUCAACAGCAAUAGCAGGUCCUGCCUCUUGUUUUAUCUGAUGCUCCUUUGUGUCCUUCCCAAAAGUGAGCGUGUGUGUACACAGCAGGCACUCAGCAUUUGUUGAGUGAAUCAAGGAUGAAGCUUGCCCAGGAGCAAUGAGUGUGGUGGGCGCUCGGCAAACAGCAGGUAAGUUGGUGAUACGCGUGUCACUGCGUCAGUGCUGCUAUAAGAGAAUGCCUGAGACUUGGUCAUUUAUAAAGGACAGAAAUGCACUCUCUCUUGCAGUUCUGGAGACUAGGAGUCCAAGACCAAGGCACUGGCACCUGGUGUGGGCCUCCUGAUGGCAUCUUCACCUGGCGGAAAGGAAGAGGGCAGGAGAGGCUGGAUGCUGUGUCCUCCCAUGGCAGAAGAGCAGAAGAGAGCCCACGUCCACAGCGGCCAUCAGUAGGGCAGAGCCAAGCAGCCUCAGCACCUCCCAUUAGCUGCCCCCGGCACUGUUGCGUUGGGAUUGUUUCCAACUGAAUUUGGAGGACACACUCAAGCCCCAGCAAUGAGUCACACGAAACUGUUCGUCAUCUGUAAUUCAGAGACACAUUCUGGCGGACGCAGGCUCUGGAUACCCCACUCACUCGCUCGUUUUCCACGUAUUCUGAGCUGCCCUGCUUCAGGCCCUCUGUUGCAGACUGUGACUACAACCACCAAGAAGGUGUGCCCCUCGGCCUCUCAGCCUUCACCAAUGUGGAGGGCAGGCAACCUGGUGCAAGAACAAGCACAGGCUCACAUCCUGGUGCCAUGACUUACCCGCUGCGCCCUGGGGUCCAACAAUUUAACCACCCCAAACUCCAUUCAUCCAUGUCACUGAGGUUAGCUGAACUUACCUUGAAAGUUCGCUAUGAAGAGUGAAUUAUUUCUUGCACAGGAAUGUUUACUGUAGUCUGUGGCCCAGAAGAAUUGGUACUUUGAAACUUCAAAAACUCCUUGUUAUUGGGUACCUUAAGAGGACUUGGUUCUAUUUGUGAUGAGGAAGCUUUGCCCUCUCUAGGGCUAGCGCCAAAUAGCAACAUGGACUUUGAGAAGGUAGUACCGCAGCCCUGCCUUCCCUCCCUGAUCCCAGUGCUCUUUUUUGGAGAACUUUAUUACUACCAACACAUUACAGUGUACCUGCCACCAUGAAUUAGUCUUCUAAAACCAUGAGCCCCAAAUUCGCUUUCCCUCCUGAGAGUUGUUCUUGGUAUCUUGGUCACAGAGGUGAAGAGCAGGCGCUGUCUAGUUAUUGUGCCUGGAUGUCACAUAAGCCACACGACAGCCCUGGUGGGAUUAGGAGCUGCUCUAGGAACCAUUUCCCAGGUGAUGCAAUGCCGGCAAGAGGGCUAACCAGGCUCCUAACCCAGGUGGCUGUCUCCAGUGUGUACACCUGGCCCUGCCCCCUCCUGGCUCGUUGACCUUAUCCUCUGAAGCUUGGAGACCACAUUGGAAGGUGACAACAGCGAGAAGCUUCUCCUGGGGUAGUGGAGGACGACAGGGAAGCCAUGGACACAGCUCCUGGGACGAGGUGAGAAGUCAUAGCACAUAGGCAUCUGCCAACAUCCCCAUUAUUGUCAUCAUGGUCAUUACCACGGUGGUCACUGCCAUGUUUUGGAAAUGAAUCCCAAACGGCAGGACAGGUAACAGAGGGAAUUUUGUUGCUGUUGCUGCAUUAUUAAGAAAGAGUUCGCUGGUCUUAGAUUUUUGAAGCUGGAAAAAUCUCAGACACUUUAUAAGUCCCUGUGAUCUCAUAGAAAUCUGCACGACUGGAAUCAAUGUGUGAAAAGAGCAGAGUUUGUUUUUACCCCAGUUGAAAAUGUGCAAUGACAUAAUGUAACCCUUUAAGAUAACAGGAGCCAGCUGCCCCAUUCAUAUUUAAAUAUGAGUCACCUUCCAGGGAGACUUGCAAGAUUCUAUGUGCCAAGCUGGAAAAGUAAAAAUUGCCAGCAAGGAGGGAAAGAAUAAAUUCACACUUGAAGGAUGUGUUGCAGAGCCGCCCCGCACAGCAGAUUCUGGGGGCAGAGAGAGGCACCCUGGUGGCCAGAGGAAGAACUGCGGAGCCACAGUGCCACAAUCCAUGCGGAGACCUUGAGGCACCUGGAGGGUCCCUUUCACUUGAUUAAAAAUAUUUUGUUUUCUGUAUAAAUGGCCCCUAUUUCCAGGCACGUGAUUGUUAGAAACACAACAUAGUAAUUUCUGAAUAACACCCCGAGCUGCUGAGACCUCAGUGUUUGGCCAGCCAUCUCCAGGGUCUCCCAGGACAGCAGAGCUCUCUUAGAAGAAAGAGUCAAUUCCAAGUCUCAUCAAUAGGGCCAGCAAAGGUAAGGCCUGAAAUUUCAAAUGAAUGCCUCUCUUUGUGUUUGCUGAGAAACUAUCACAACAAACAAAAAUAGACAUAUAUUAAUGCUUGGGAAUGAUAUUUUAAAAAGCUAGUUACAUAUGUUUAUUGAAUUGAUAUACUCAUAUUCAUGAGGCUUCAGGUUAGUGUCAAAGAAUGAUAGACUGCUAACUAGGGUCCCUGAUGGCCUGACCAGGUUUGCUAUUUGUCUGCCAUUGUGAAUUUCUACCUGAGAUAAUUCAGGAUCAGUGAUCAGUGGCUGAAUCAAAACCCAGAAUUCACUUUAAUGUUGGCAGUUUGGGUCAGGCUGUGGCAUAGAGAAAGCCAUGUUCCUGUAAAACAUCCUGCUCACCAGGAAUAGAAGCAGGUGCUACCCUAGGAAUAGAAGCAGAUUGUUAGAGGAGAUAAACCAGCAAGUAUGAAGGUGAACUUGAGUUUCGUCUUUCAAUAAAACCUAUUGGAGGAUAACUCAGCCAUAUGAAUUCUAGACUUUGACUUCUAAUUUGAAUUCUUCUAAUUUAACUACAUAAUUCAAGAUGUACAUAGGCAUUUGGCAGUGAGGGCAUUUAAAAUAGCAUUGUGUAUUUACUAUUGACAAUGAAAGAUUGUUAAUAAAAAAAAGUGUUGAGAAUUUAUCAUAUCAAUACAGUGAAAUAUUUUGUGCUGUUAGAAGGAUUGUUUAGAAUUAUAUUUAUGGAGACAUAAAGAUAUACCCUAUAUAUUGCAAAUAAUAUGGUUGGUUGGUCUGGUUUUGUCUUCUGUAAUCCCAUUUAACUAGAAUCCUUGUCAUUAGUUUCAAAAAAUUGAGAUGGGGUGCAGGAGGCACAUGCCUGUAAUCCCAGAGACAGGGGAGGGUUAGGCAGGAGGAUCAAAAGUUUAAGGCCAGUCUCAGCAAUUUAGUGAGGCUCUAAGCAACUUAGUGAGACCCUGUCUCAGAAAAACAAAAAUAAAAAGAAGCUUUGGAGAACCAAAUGACCCCCCAAGCCCUACCAGCCUCUGGUGCUAGGAAUUGAACAUAGGGCCUUGGGCAUGCUAGGCAAGCACUACCACUGAGCUAUAUCCCAUGUCCUUAAAAAUAAUUAUGAAACGUCUUUCCUAUGUGACCUCUUUCCAUUCCCAUUAAUUAUUAAAUUUAUUUUGGUGGAGUUUAUUUUCUUAGCUGUGUAAAAGUAAUAUUUAGCCAGGUGUGGUGACACACACUUGUAAUCCCAGCAGCUUAGGAGGCUGAAGCAGGAAGAUCACAAGUUCAAAGCCAGCCUCGGCAAUUUAGCGAGGCUCUAAGCAACUUAGUAAGACUUUAUCUCAAAAUAAAAAUAAAAAUUAAAAAAAUUUUCAAAAAGGCUAGAGGUGUGGCUUAGUGGUUAAGAGCAUUCCUGGGUCAAUCCCAGGUACAUUAAAAAAAGAAAGAAAGAAAGAAAAAGAAAAAAAAUUAUUAGAUUUCAUUAAAGAGAAACCAAAAUAUAAAGCUUAUUUUCUUAAUUCCAUAGCUACUUGCUCAUAAGAAAAGCCUACAGAAAUGAUCACCUGUGAGGAUAUUCCCACUGUAAUAACGUCCCCAUGAAGAUUGUGGUGUCCCUCAUCUUCCAGAGAGCCAGUUCAAGAUCUCUCAGUGUGAGCCCACUGCAUGGCCAGGGAAUAUAUUUUGCAGGAGUAAAGAGGCAUUCCUGGUGCUUAUCUGCCCUCUCUCCUCUUACCUCGGCAACUUCCAACAGUUACAAGAGAUUGUGAGGGUAGCAAAAUGAGUAUUCAAGAGGAGACGUUUUGCAGUUUCUGUGUGAAGUCUCGAGUGUGCCUGGUGUGGGGGCUACUGCAGCAAGACCAAACUCUGGUGAGUGUGAGGCUUGGGGAACGUGUUCUGCUUAGCGCGUAAUUUGCUGAAAGACAACUUGGGAUGGCAUCCUGGCAUUGAAGUUACCCGUGAUGUCACAUUUACAGGUAUGUACUUGUGUUUAGCUCAGGGAUCCUCAUGCUUGGCCCCUCUGACGUUUGGGGCUGAAUAAUUCCUCAUCGUGGGGGACUGGCCUGUGCACUGUGGGGUGUUUAGCAGCUGUGGCCUCCCUUCACUUGGACACCAGUAGAUUCUGUAUCCCCCACCUCCUGAAUUGCAAAUAGUGAAAAAUGUCUCCAAAAGUGCCCAAUGUCACCUGGGGUGGGGGUGGGGCAAAAGUGGACCAUUUGAGAACCUCCGUCUUAGAUUGAGAUAAGAAUUAUUUCAGAACAGCAAGAACAUGAAUGAUACGCUGUCUUCUUUCUGCCUAUUUUGUUCUAAGGUACACACGUUGACGUGUAUCACUUAUGUAUUAGAAAAAAACUCAAAAGACAAAACCAUCCCUAAUGAGCAAAUCAGCACCCCAAAAAGCAGAACUCACACUGCUGAAUUUCUCACCGUCUUUGGGGUAGUGCUGUGCAUCACAGUUUGUGGUGGCUUCAUGCACACUUAUCUUAGGGAGCCUUUAAAUCUAGCGAGGCAGGUGGCUUAGGGUAAUUGCAUUCCUUCUUUACAGAUAGAAAAGCUGAGCUCUACUACAAUGUCACCCUACACAGCCGAAGUCACACUGGAGCUCAGCCCUCUUGGCCCCUGAUCCUCCCUAUAGGAGUCCACAGCCUUUUCCCUGUGCACAAUCCUCGAGGCUCUGAGUUCUGUUUCCCCGGGGUUCACUUCCUGUGCUCAGGCAGACUUCAGUGGAGUAGGGAGCAGAGGGGCAGGGCACCUCCCUGCUGAAGGUGCAAGCCGCCGUGGGACCCCAGGUGGAGGACCACUUUCAUGCUUGGGUUCCCCUGUGCAGUCCCACCUCAUGUUGGAGUUCUCAAUGCACGAGGGGGCUGACGCGUGGCAGUCUGUGAGGUAGUCUCUAUUAAAUCGUUUGCAUAUUUAGCUUCUCUGUGUCCGGAAUUCGCAUCCAUCUUGCAAAAUUGUACUGGAGUUAAUUCACUUACUUGCCAGGGAGAAACCCUUCUGGGUUUCCCACUCUAGGGCAUUUCUGGGGGUCUCUCCUGUUUUCAUUGGUGCAUUUCCUCUGAUACAAUUAACACUAAUGGGGACCAGGCAUGUGUAUCGACAGACGCACGAGCCCAUGUGUUAGAAAUUGAAUCUCUCAGUCUAGGUGUGCCUUGGAUAAGGUACAGUAAUUAUUAUUAUCCAUUAAUACCAGAGUGCACAAAUAUCACUGGGAAGUAAAUAUUUAAUAUUUCACACUCAUUGCCUUCUUUUAGUUUUUAAUUUGCUAUUGUGCAUAACAAGCAAAUGGUACAUACCUUCUUUCUCCCCUCUUAAAAUUAAGCUCCUUUAAUUUUGCAGAGCAUCUAGUCGUUAAACACAAACUCUCUCAUUUUCUCACAUUGGAUAUUGAACAUUCCAGCUAUCUGCAGAGAAGUCGGCCUGUAGAUAGAGGUGGGUGUGAGAAAUCUUGUCUUAGACUUUCAUUUUAAUUUUAAGAGCAUUACUGCCCGCCCCAGUGACUGCACUUUUAAUUUAACCUACUGUGCUCACUUUCUUAGGUUUCAAAACUGACAAGUGAACCGGGAGGAGGGAGGCGUUAUGUCGUGUUGGACUUGGCACAACUCCUUCCAAAGCAACAUCGCCCGUCUUUGUACCCUGGAACAGAGCACAAAGAGGGAGACCGGCACAUAAUUUGGCUCUGCAAAUAAUUUUUGAAUUAAUCAAAUCAGUCUGUGCCUCCUAACUCCUGCACUCCGCUCUUGGCUCCCCAGUCUGUUGGUCUGGCAUCCUCUCCUGUUCUGUCCUUGGUGUGACCUUCAAAUCUGACCAUUUGUCUUCAGGUUUGUGGCUCUCUGCUCUGUGUUAUUGAAGCCUGUGAGGCUCCGGCUAUGUCUCUGCUUGCCAUCCAUGACAUUAAUCCCCAACGCUAACAGAGGGCUCCCAGAAUCCCUGUUUGUGUUUGCUUAGAUUCAGGAUUGUAAAUGCAACUGUGUCCAAG
RNAcentral lists this long non-coding RNA (25281 nucleotides) under Marmota monax (woodchuck). Lineage: Eukaryota; Metazoa; Chordata; Mammalia; Rodentia; Sciuridae. The record is from RNAcentral.